RNAcentral lists this ribosomal RNA (252 nucleotides) under uncultured Bacteroidales bacterium. Its description in RNAcentral is "partial 16S ribosomal RNA". It matches the Rfam family "Bacterial small subunit ribosomal RNA", at positions 524 to 776 of the family's 1533-position model. Lineage: Bacteria; Pseudomonadati; Bacteroidota; Bacteroidia; Bacteroidales. The record is from RNAcentral.
UAAGGAGGAUGCGAGCGUUAUCCGGAUUUAUUGGGCUUAAAGGGAGCGUAGGCGGACUGUUAAGUCAGCGGUAAAAGCCCGGGGCUCAACCCCGGCGAGCCGUUGAAACUGGCUGUCUUGAGAUGUCGAGAGGUAUGCGGAAUGCGCAGUGUAGCGGUGAAAUGCUUAGAUAUUGCGCAGAACUCCGAUUGCGAAGGCAGCAUACCAAACUAUAUCUGACGUUGAGGCACGAAAGCGUGGGGAGCAAACAGG